UUCAACUGCUUGUGCUACCUCCAAUUAUUGCUUUUAUGCUGCUGCGAAUCAUAUUCGCCGGGGUGAGGCCGAUGUAAUGAUUGCUGGUGGAACAGAAGCUGCAGUUAUUCCUAUUGGUAUUGGGGGUUUUGUUGCUUGUAGAGCUUUAUCACAGAGAAAUGAUGAUCCACAAACUGCAUCAAGGCCAUGGGACAAGGGCAGAGAUGGCUUUGUUAUGGGUGAGGGUGCUGGAGUGCUGGUACUGGAAAGUUUGGAACAUGCAAUGAAACGAGGUGCACACAUUAUUGCCGAG
RNAcentral lists this unclassified non-coding RNA (292 nucleotides) under Hevea brasiliensis (rubber tree). Lineage: Eukaryota; Viridiplantae; Streptophyta; Magnoliopsida; Malpighiales; Euphorbiaceae. The record is from RNAcentral.